Molecule: ribosomal RNA, 324 nt
Filed under: uncultured eukaryote
Lineage: Eukaryota
Description: partial 18S ribosomal RNA
Rfam family: Eukaryotic small subunit ribosomal RNA
Source: RNAcentral
CCCUUAGAUGUUCUGGGCUGCACGCGCGCUACACUGAAGCUAUCAACACGUUUUCCCUCCCUGAGAAGGGCGGGUAACCUUUUGAAUCAGCUUCGUGGUAGGGAUCGGGGCUUGCAAUUGUUCCCCGUGAACCAGGAAUUCCUAGUAGACGCGAGUCAUAAGCUCGCAUCGAUUAAGUCCCUGCCCUUUGUACACACCGCCCGUCGCUACUACCGAUUGAACGUUUUAGUGAGGCAUUUGGACCGACGCAUCUUAGUUUAACCGCUGGUUUGUGUUGGAAAGACUUCCAAACUUGAGCGUUUAGAGGAAGUAAAAGUCGUAACA